RNAcentral lists this transfer RNA (83 nucleotides) under Chloroflexota bacterium. Its description in RNAcentral is "Chloroflexi bacterium tRNA-Tyr". It matches the Rfam family "tRNA". Rfam says of the family: Transfer RNA (tRNA) molecules are approximately 80 nucleotides in length. Their secondary structure includes four short double-helical elements and three loops (D, anti-codon, and T loops). The record is from RNAcentral. Lineage: Bacteria; Bacillati; Chloroflexota.
GGGCAGGUACCCAAGUGGCCAAAGGGGACUGACUGUAAAUCAGUUGUCGGACGACUUCGGGGGUUCGAAUCCCUCCCUGCCCA